GCAGACACAUUCCAGCCAAUCAGCAGCAGACCCUCCCUCCCAGACCCUCCCACCUCCUGGACAGCAUCCAUUUUGAAGCUGCAUUCUCAGUGAGCUGUCCAGGAGGUGGGAGGGUCUGGGAGGGAGGGUCUGCUGCUGAUUGGCUGGAAUGUGUCUG
Non-coding RNA from Pelobates cultripes (western spadefoot toad), 157 nucleotides. The record is from the annotation of a GenBank genome assembly. NCBI's taxonomy places the organism in Eukaryota, Metazoa, Chordata, Amphibia, Anura, Pelobatidae.